UGGGGAAUAUUGCACAAUGGGGGAAACCCUGAUGCAGCGAUGCCGCGUGGAGGAAGAAGGUUUUCGGAUUGUAAACUCCUGUCUUAAGGGACGAUAAUGACGGUACCUUAGGAGGAAGCUCCGGCUAACUACGUGCCAGCAGCCGCGGUAAUACGUAGGGAGCGAGCGUUGUCCGGAAUUACUGGGUGUAAAGGGAGCGUAGGCGGGACGGCAAGUCAGGUGUGAAAUUUAUGGGCUUAACCCAUAAACUGCAUUUGAAACUGCUGUUCUUGAGUGAAGUAGAGGUAAGCGGAAUUCCUAGUGUAGCGGUGAAAUGCGUAGAUAUUAGGAGGAACAUCGGUGGCGAAGGCGGCUUACUGGGCUUUUACUGACGCUGAGGCUCGAAAGCGUGGGGAGCAAACAGG
Molecule: ribosomal RNA, 404 nt
Filed under: uncultured prokaryote
Also listed under: 1 other name
Description: bacterial SSU rRNA
Rfam family: Bacterial small subunit ribosomal RNA
Source: RNAcentral